CCUCUCAUGGCGUAGUGGUAACACGCCCCAACUAGAGAUCGGGGAGUCGUGAGUUCGAUUCUCACUGAGAAGA
Aedes aegypti (yellow fever mosquito) is the source of this 73-nucleotide non-coding RNA. NCBI's taxonomy places the organism in Eukaryota, Metazoa, Arthropoda, Insecta, Diptera, Culicidae. The record is from Rfam.